AUUCUCUUGGGUACAGGCAGUGUAAAGCUGGAAGCAGCUCUCCUGCCUCCCACACUAAAGCUUGGUAACCUAGGGCCCCUCUCCCUACUACAGUAUAUUAUGGGAAGAGACCUUUAGGAGAAAAGUGAGGAUGACUCUGCCAGUGACCAAGAAAAAGGGGGGUUUUGUCCCCUGCAGAUGUUACAGGUGCUUGUCAGGAGAGCUCAAGCUUCCAACUGGCUGAAGUGUCUUAAAAGAGAAAGUGAAAUAAAACACCGAAGAACUUGGAUGGUUUAUGAACUGCAGUGCUACAUCAGGGAGACCUCUCAUCCCCCACUCCGGUACAGCACUGUUGGGGGUCUCCAGAGGACUUCAGUCAGGCAGCGCAGCAGGAUCUAUAGAGGCGGCUGAGGUUUCCGGACAGUCUGCGAGCAGUUUCUCCUUAUAGGAAGAGAGUUGCACCUGCCGCUGAACUUGGCUCCGCCCCAAGGGAAGCAAGUGGAAAAUUAGGAACGGGGUUUUUUCCUUUGCUGUGGACCCUGAACACAAGAACGCCAGAAGAGCCUGGCUGCUGGAUCAGGCCCAUCAAGUCCGGCAUCCCUGCAGCCAACCAGGUGCCCUAGGGGGGAAGCCUGAAAGCAGGACCAGAGCACACCAGCAGUGCUCUCCACACUUGUGCUUCCCAGCAGUGGAUCAUCCAGUGAGACCCAAAGAGCUGACCUUGCAGCCAAAAGGCAGAGCUAGUCUGGGAACUGGGGGUCCCCUCUCCAGGGCUUCUGUAGUGGUGGCCCCCCAGUCCUUGGAAUGCCCUCCACAUGGAAGCUCUCCUGGCACCAGCCAAAUAUUUCAGCACCAGCCAGAGAUUCAUUUGGCCGAUCUGCCUAGAUCCUCUUCCAACAACUGUUUUACCAAUGCUUGGCCCUGGCUUGAGUGAAUUUAGUGUUUUUGCCGUUCUAGCAUUUCUUUUCUUAAAAAAAGUUUGCUAUGUUGGUUGGCUAGACUUUGAUUUGUUUGCCACUUUUUGACUUUCUGGGUCGAACAGCAGGAUAAAAAACAAAAUAU
This is a long non-coding RNA of Podarcis raffonei (Aeolian wall lizard), 1041 nucleotides long. RefSeq lists it as uncharacterized. NCBI's taxonomy places the organism in Eukaryota, Metazoa, Chordata, Lepidosauria, Squamata, Lacertidae. The transcript has 2 exons. The record is from RefSeq and is a predicted model, not a curated record.